This 624-nucleotide long non-coding RNA is filed under the name Amphimedon queenslandica. Its description in RNAcentral is "uncharacterized LOC109583302, transcript variant X2". The record is from RNAcentral. Lineage: Eukaryota; Metazoa; Porifera; Demospongiae; Haplosclerida; Niphatidae.
UGUAACAUGUUUUUUUAAUUCACCAAAAAUGAUUUUUUGAUUUUCAUUUUUAUGACGCAUUAAUGAACAUGUGGAUGUAUGAAAGUUAGUGGGUGAAUGUGUAUAAUUACAGGGGCAUUAUUGUUAUUCCUCCUAAACUGUGGAGACUCAAUAUUGAUCCUCCUGAUGGUAGUACUGCUUCAUUUGAUGUUGAUGAGAGAUGGUGGGACCAGGUCGAACUGACUAGACUGGAUCUAUCAUCUAACGAAAUCAAACAAAUAUCUGAAGAUAUUGAAAACUUUAAUUCAUUGUCAGCACUUGAGGUCCAGUACAAUGAGUUAACAUGUCUACCUAAUAAUGUGAUCAAACUGGAUAAACUAUCUAAAAUAUUUGCAAGUCUCUCCUAUAUGUUAGGAAGGUUUGAGUCUCUUCAUUAUCUUCUCUUUGAUGUUCUCCUCUUAAUUAAAUGAAUGAGAGCUGACAUCCUCCGGAAAGGAACAGUAUUGGUCCUCUAGUAUCUCUUGUAUUGAAGAACAAGAGACCACAUGUGACGGCCAACCUCUCCCUCGUCCCUCAAGAUCCCCUCGUGACCAUACAAGUGAGAGAUCAUGUGACUUUUGAUGAUAGUCAUGUGAUGUUGUGUAG